This 254-nucleotide ribosomal RNA is filed under the name uncultured bacterium. RNAcentral describes it as "partial 16S ribosomal RNA". It matches the Rfam family "Bacterial small subunit ribosomal RNA", at positions 524 to 776 of the family's 1533-position model. The record is from RNAcentral.
GACAGAGGGUGCGAACGUUUGUUCGGAAUUACUGGGCGUAAAGCGCGUGUAGGCUGCUCUGAAAGUCGGAUGUGAAAGCCCUGGGCUCAACCCAGGAAGUGCACUCGAUACUACAGAGCUCGAGUCCCGGAGAGGAAGGCGGAAUUCUCGGUGUAGAGGUGAAAUUCGUAGAUAUCGAGAGGAACACCUGUGGCGAAGGCGGCCUUCUGGACAGUGACUGACGCUGAGACGCGAAAGCGUGGGGAGCAAACAGG